Molecule: ribosomal RNA, 390 nt
Filed under: uncultured bacterium
Lineage: Bacteria
Description: bacterial SSU rRNA
Rfam family: Bacterial small subunit ribosomal RNA
Source: RNAcentral
ACAUGCAAGUCGAACGCCCCGCAAGGGGAGUGGCAGACGGGUGAGUAACGCGUGGGAACAUACCCUUUCCUGCGGAAUAGCUCCGGGAAACUGGAAUUAAUACCGCAUACGCCCUACGGGGGAAAGAUUUAUCGGGGAAGGAUUGGCCCGCGUUGGAUUAGCUAGUUGGUGGGGUAAAGGCCUACCAAGGCGACGAUCCAUAGCUGGUCUGAGAGGAUGAUCAGCCACAUUGGGACUGAGACACGGCCCAAACUCCUACGGGAGGCAGCAGUGGGGAAUAUUGGACAAUGGGCGCAAGCCUGAUCCAGCCAUGCCGCGUGAGUGAUGAAGGCCUUAGGGUUGUAAAGCUCUUUCACCGGAGAAGAUAAUGACGGUAUCCGGAGAAGAAGC